UGGAACUGAUGAGCUGGUGGUAGUGCGGCAAGUGACCAGUGACCCGAGGAGCAUCGGUGGUGGAGUAGUGUCCUCCCUCUCCCCCCCUCAAGACCCCUCUCUCUCUCUCUAAUUGGGAAUCUACUAAACACAUUCAACUCAAAGAUAAGAUCGCCUCCCCCAAUGGUGGCUCUCCACCCCGUAAAUAGGGGCCCACAUGGGCCAAGGAUGGAGGAACACACAAGAGGUCCAUCAGAGAAGAGGUGAAGGGAAGAUGGACACCAAAUCCUCCCAUUGGACCCACACGUAUGGCCCAACGGUAGGAGGGAAGAGGAAGGAAAGGAAACAAGAGGGGAGGGGUACAUGGGCCCAAAGGAUGGGAGUCCCACAUGUGGCAAGGCGACAAAUCUAAGAUGUUCACUAAUGUGGGGUGCGACGACAAGAGAGAGACAUAGGAUAGGAGUUGCCCUUCAUGCGGUAUAACGGAAUACAGGGUCCUUCAUCCUCGCUCGAGCUCCACGAUCCGGUUGAAUAUGUGUGGACGGGGUCUCCUCCAUCCUCUUGAGCUCUAGUCGUGGUGGUGGCAGGUCCCAUUCGCCACCAAUUUUAUUUGUUAGAGUUAUAAAGGCAUCAUAUUUUGACGAUGACAAAAAUCACUUAAAGUUAAUUAAGAAUAACCAC
This 660-nucleotide long non-coding RNA is filed under the name Spirodela polyrhiza (greater duckweed). RNAcentral's name for it is "long non-coding RNA (SPOL_LNC001167)". The record is from RNAcentral. Lineage: Eukaryota; Viridiplantae; Streptophyta; Magnoliopsida; Alismatales; Araceae.